RNAcentral lists this ribosomal RNA (333 nucleotides) under uncultured bacterium. RNAcentral describes it as "bacterial SSU rRNA". It matches the Rfam family "Bacterial small subunit ribosomal RNA", at positions 568 to 899 of the family's 1533-position model. The record is from RNAcentral.
UGCGCAGGUGGCCAGGUGUGUGAGGCGUGAAAGCCCGGAGCUCAACUCCGGAAUUGCACCUCAAACUACAUGGCUAGAGCAUUGGAGAGGGGAGCAGAAUUCACGGUGUAGCAGUGAAAUGCGUAGAUAUCGUGAGGAAUACCAGAGGCGAAGGCGGCUCCCUGGACAAUUGCUGACACUCAGGCACGAAAGCGUGGGGAGCAAAAGGGAUUAGAUACCCCUGUAGUCCACGCCCUAAACGGUGCACACUAGGUCUUGGAGGAUUCGACCCCUUCAGGGCCCAAGCUAACGCGUUAAGUGUGCCGCCUGAGGACUACGGCCGCAAGGCUAAAA